This 640-nucleotide ribosomal RNA is filed under the name uncultured bacterium. RNAcentral's name for it is "bacterial SSU rRNA". It matches the Rfam family "Bacterial small subunit ribosomal RNA", at positions 75 to 725 of the family's 1533-position model. The record is from RNAcentral.
AGGGGUAACCCACUGGUAUGACGGAGCGGCGAACGGGUGAGUAACACUUGAGUAACCUGCCCCACAGACCGGGAUAGCCCAGGGAAACCUGGAUUAAUACCGGAUAUCCUCGAAGGACCGCAUGGUCCGUUGAGGAAAUGCCUUUGUGCUGUGGGAUGGGCUCGAGGCUUAUCAGCUAGUUGGUGGGGUAACGGCCUACCGAGGCAUCGACGAGUAGCUGGUCUGAGAGGACGAUCAGCCACACUGGGACUGAGACACGGCCCAGACUCCUACGGGAGGCGGCAGCAGGGAAUCUUGCGCAAUGGGCGAAAGCCUGACGCAGCAACGCCGCGUGGGGGAUGAAGGCCUUCGGGUUGUAAACCCCUUUCAGGAGGGAAGAAAUUGACGGUACCUCCAAAAGAAGCACCGGCCAACUACGUGCCAGCAGCCGCGGUAAUACGUAGGGUGCGAGCGUUAUCCGGAAUCAUUGGGCGUAAAGAGCUCGUAGGCGGUUCAGCAAGUCGGCUGUGAAAUUCCGAGGCUCAACCUCGGAACUGCAGUCGAUACUGCUGUGAACUCGAGUCCGGUAGAGGAGAAUGGAAUUCCCGGUGUAGCGGUGAAAUGCGCAGAUAUCGGGAGGAACACCAGUAGCGAAGGCGGU